Molecule: ribosomal RNA, 254 nt
Filed under: uncultured bacterium
Lineage: Bacteria
Description: partial 16S ribosomal RNA
Rfam family: Bacterial small subunit ribosomal RNA
Source: RNAcentral
UACGUAGGGGGCGAGCGUUAUCCAGAUUUACUGGGCGUAAAGCGCGUGUAGGCGGCUGGUUAGGUGUGAUGUGAAAUCCUCGGGCUCAACCCGAGAACUGCAUUGCAAACCGGCCUGGCUAGAGUGCAGGAGAGGGAAGCGGAAUUCCAGGUGUAGCGGUGAAAUGCGUAGAUAUCAGGAGGAACACCGGUGGUGUAGACGGCUUUCUGGACCGUAACUGACGCUGAGACACGAAAGCGUGGGUAGCAAACAGG